CUACGGGUUGCAGCGGUGAGGAAUAUUGCACAAUGGGGGGAACCCUGAUGCGGCAACGCCGCGUGGAGGAUGACGCAUUUCGGUGUGUAAACUCCUUUUAUAUGUCAAGAAAAUGACGGUAGCAUAUGAAUAAGCACCGGCUAACUCCGUGCCAGCAGCCGCGGUAAUACGGAGGGUGCAAGCGUUACUCGGAAUCACUGGGCGUAAAGGACGCGUAGGCGGGUUGGAAAGUCAGGUGUGAAAUCCUACAGCUUAACUGUAGAACUGCACUUGAAACUUCUAAUCUAGAGUAUGGGAGGGGGAGAUGGAAUUAGUGGUGUAGGGGUAAAAUCCGUAGAUAUCACUAGGAAUACCUAAAGCGAAGGCGAUCUCCUGGAACAUUACUGACGCUAAGGCGUGAAAGCGUGGGGAGCAAACAGGAUUAGAUACCCUAGUAGUC
RNAcentral lists this ribosomal RNA (439 nucleotides) under uncultured bacterium. RNAcentral's name for it is "partial 16S ribosomal RNA". It matches the Rfam family "Bacterial small subunit ribosomal RNA", at positions 339 to 795 of the family's 1533-position model. The record is from RNAcentral.